This 460-nucleotide ribosomal RNA is filed under the name uncultured bacterium. RNAcentral describes it as "partial 16S ribosomal RNA". It matches the Rfam family "Bacterial small subunit ribosomal RNA", at positions 338 to 795 of the family's 1533-position model. The record is from RNAcentral.
CCUACGGGAGGCAGCAGUGAGGAAUAUUGGUCAAUGGCCGGAAGGCUGAACCAGCCAUGCCGCGUGAAGGUCAGUGCCCUAUGGGCGUUAAACUUCUUUUGUGCGGGAGCAAUAAUGGUCACGUGUGGCCAGACGAGAGUACCGUACGAAUAAGCAUCGGCUAACUCCGUGCCAGCAGCCGCGGUAAUACGGGGGAUGCAAGCGUUAUCCGGAUUUAUUGGGUUUAAAGGGUGCGUAGGCUGUGAGGUAAGUCAGCGGUGAAAUGCCCCCGCUCAACGGGGUGAAGUGCCAUUGAUACUGCCUGGCUGGAAUGCGGAUGCCGUGGGAGGAAUGUGUGGUGUAGCGGUGAAAUGCAUAGAUAUCACACAGAACACCGAUUGCGAAGGCAUCUCACGAAUCCGCGAUUGACGCUGAUGCACGAAAGCGUGGGUAUCAAACAGGAUUAGAUAUCCGAGUAGUC